This 374-nucleotide transfer-messenger RNA is filed under the name Georhizobium profundi. Its description in RNAcentral is "Alphaproteobacteria transfer-messenger RNA". It matches the Rfam family "Alphaproteobacteria transfer-messenger RNA". From Rfam's summary of the family: Bacterial tmRNA, also known as 10Sa RNA or SsrA, is named for its dual tRNA and mRNA-like properties. Its role is to liberate the mRNA from a stalled ribosome. Lineage: Bacteria; Pseudomonadati; Pseudomonadota; Alphaproteobacteria; Hyphomicrobiales; Rhizobiaceae. The record is from Rfam by way of RNAcentral.
CCUCUUUCAAUCGAGCGGCGGAAACCCUAUAUCUCGACUGUCGUCGCAAGGCGACUAUGGCAAUAAACGGGCGGUGUAAUAAGCUCUUCGGACCCGGGGGCGGUACCCGGCGCCUCCACCAUGAACCGACGGUUGCAAGCGCGCUUGCCAGGCCGGUUGAUGAUGGGGGCGAAAUAGGAUCGACGGGAGUGUAAAGAUCGACUUUUUGCCCGGCAUGAUACCACCGUUAUCGGGUCAAACUUGUAGUUGCAAACGACAACUAUGCAGAAGCUCGUCUCGCCGCCUAAGGGCAGCGCGACAGUUUCAAUUCAAGCCCUAGUCGGUAUGCUCGGCUAGGCGGGGUCCGGAGGCACCUGGCAACAGAAGCCUCCACC